RNAcentral lists this ribosomal RNA (1019 nucleotides) under uncultured crenarchaeote. Its description in RNAcentral is "bacterial SSU rRNA". It matches the Rfam family "Archaeal small subunit ribosomal RNA", at positions 326 to 1346 of the family's 1478-position model. Lineage: Archaea; Thermoproteati; Thermoproteota. The record is from RNAcentral.
CGGGGCGCAGCAGGCGCGAAACCUCUGCAAUAGGCGAAAGCUUGACAGGGUUACUCUGAGUGAUUUCCGUUAAGGAGAUCUUUUGGCACCUCUAAAAAUGGUGCAGAAUAAGGGGUGGGCAAGUCUGGUGUCAGCCGCCGCGGUAAUACCAGCACCCCGAGUGGUCGGGACGUUUAUUGGGCCUAAAGCAUCCGUAGCCGGUUCUACAAGUCUUCCGUUAAAUCCACCUGCUUAACAGAUGGGCUGCGGAAGAUACUAUAGAGCUAGGAGGCGGGAGAGGCAAGCGGUACUCGAUGGGUAGGGGUAAAAUCCGUUGAUCCAUUGAAGGCCACCAGUGGCGAAGGCGGCUUGCCAGAACGCGCUCGACGGUGAGGGAUGAAAGCUGGGGGAGCAAACCGGAUUAGAUACCCGGGUAGUCCCAGCUGUAAACGAUGCAGACUCGGUGAUGAGUUGGCUUAUUGCUAACUCAGUGCCGCAGGGAAGCCGUUAAGUUUGCCGCCUGGGGAGUACGGUCGCAAGACUGAAACUUAAAGGAAUUGGCGGGGGAGCACCACAAGGGGUGAAGCCUGCGGUUCAAUUGGAGUCAACGCCGGAAAUCUUACCGGGGGCGACAGCAGAGUGAAGGUCAAGCUGAAGACUUUACCAGACAAGCUGAGAGGAGGUGCAUGGCCGUCGCCAGCUCGUGCCGUGAGGUGUCCUGUUAAGUCAGGUAACGAGCGAGAUCCCUGCCUCUAGUUGCUACCAUUAUUCUCAGGAGUAGUGGAGCUAAUUAGAGGGACCGCCGUCGCUGAGACGGAGGAAGGUGGGGGCUACGGCAGGUCAGUAUGCCCCGAAACCCUCGGGCCACACGCGGGCUGCAAUGGUAAGGACAAUGAGUUUCGAUUCCGAAAGGAGGAGGCAAUCUCUAAACCUUACCACAGUUAUGAUUGAGGGCUGAAACUCGCCCUCAUGAAUAUGGAAUCCCUAGUAACCGCGUGUCACUAUCGCGCGGUGAAUACGUCCUGCUCCCUUGCACACAA